Molecule: long non-coding RNA, 231 nt
Filed under: Lathyrus oleraceus (garden pea)
Lineage: Eukaryota; Viridiplantae; Streptophyta; Magnoliopsida; Fabales; Fabaceae
Description: Pisum sativum (pea) long non-coding RNA (PSAT_LNC008136)
Source: RNAcentral
AAUAGUGCCUUCUCUCCACCAACAACGACAAGUUUGUCGUUCUUCACAAAUUUCAACUUCUAGUGAAGAGUAGGCAUCAUUGCUCCUGCCUCAUGAAUCCAUGGCCUUCCCAAUAAACAACUAUAGGUCGGGAAGGUAUCAAUUACCUGGAAAGUAAUUUGGAAAUUACUCGGACUUAUCUUAAUUGGAAGGUCCACUUCACUAAUGACGGUUUUUCGAGAACCAUCAAAC